RNAcentral lists this long non-coding RNA (3642 nucleotides) under Lynx pardinus (Iberian lynx). The record is from RNAcentral. Lineage: Eukaryota; Metazoa; Chordata; Mammalia; Carnivora; Felidae.
CGCAGGGCCUGAACUCAUGAUCCUGAGAUCGAGACCUGAGAUGAGAUCAAGAGUCGGCCACCCAACUGGCCAAGCCAUUCAGGUGCCCUGAAAAAAAAUUUCUCUAACCUAUUUUUAGAAUACUACAUAUUUGAUUUCUCAUUUGGUUGAUACGAGUUAGUGAAUUAAAGGAACUGAGAACUCUUUCAUGAAGGAAAUCUGUACGUUUCUGUUAAACUCAUGACUUCUCAGGGUGCCUUGCUGGCUCAUUUGGUAGAGCAUGUGACUCUUGAUCUCGGCUUCAUGAGUUCAAGCCCUACGUUGGCCAUGGAGCCUACUUAAAAGCAGAAAACAAAAAACACUGCAUGAUUUCCCAAACUUAGCUGACCAUGGAAUCCUUCUCUUUGUGGAACAUAACUUAAUAUUUAUGUCUCACGAAACAGUAUGGGUGAUGUGUGCUCUGCUCUACACAGUCAUUUGGUGUCCCAGGUUCCUCCCUUCUGAUUUUUCCUUGGGAACCUAGCUGGGAAGCUGUUGCCCAACCACAGCUUUUUUUUUUUUUAAUGUUUAUUUAUUUAUUUUGAGAGAAAGCAUGAGCACAGGGGAGGGACAGAGAAAAAGGGAGAGAAAGCAUCCCAAGCAGGCUCCACACUGACAAUGCAUAGCCUGGCAUGGGGCUGGAACUCACAAACUAUGAGACCAUGACCUAAGCUGAGAUCGAGUCAGACGCUGAACUGAUUGAGCCACCCACGUGUCCCCCAACUACAGCUUUGACAACUUUGUGUCACUGUCACCUAGCCAGCCUGAAGUAAAGCAGGGACUAGAAUCCGUGUCCUCUCACCCCUAGGCUAGGAUUCUAUUACCACACUAGCUUUUGCUUACUCAGUCGACAUGUUUCAAGUGUCUCUAGUGUUCCAGGUUUACUAUCAGAGAAAACAGAAAACACAGCACCAAUUCUCCAUAAAAUAUUUGUCAAUUGCAUCUUUAAUCUGGUAGCAUUCUUUAUGUAUGGGUAAACUUUCAAAAAUGGCUAUUAAAGUAGCAAAAUUAUAGGUUUAUAUCAUAGUAUUUUAAUUUACCAGAGAACACAUACUAUGGGAAUAAACAAACAUUAGAGGAACAGAGUAGAGAAUCUUGAAAUGGACCGAGAUACAUCUCAGAAUUUAAAGCAUGAAAAAAGGCAUUUCAAAUUAGUUCUGAACAAAGAAGAUGAAUUGUGUGUGAAAGUGGUGCUGGGACCACUGUAUAGCAGUUUGGGGGGGGGGGGGGGGGGGGGNGGGAGGAUAAGCCCUUAAAACUAUUCAUAUUGUUCAAUUAUGUGACUUAAAGAAAUCAUGCAAGUCAAAACGUUUAAAAAUGAUUUUGAAUAGAGUAAAGCUUUUCUAGGCAAAAACAAAAACCAGAAGCUACAAAAGAAAAUCUUGACAAUUCAGACUACAUAAGAGGCAAAAACAAAUAUAGAAAAAAAGAACAAUUAAAGAUUCAAAACAAAUACAUUUUCAAAACAUGGGCAUAAAACUAAUUUUCCAUGAUAUAUAAAGAGCUUUUACAAAUCAGCAACAAUAAUAGAAAAAAUGGACAAAGGACACAAAUAUACACAGAAAAAGAAAUUCAAGGGGCACCUGGGAGGCUCAAUCGAUUAAGCAUCCUACUCUUUAUUUGGACUCAGGUCAUGAUCUCCUAGAUUGUUGGUUUGAGCCCCACAUCUGUGCUGACAGCCAGAGCCUGCCUGGAAUUCUCUGUCUCCCUCUCUCUGCUUCUCCCCCCCCCCCAAAAUAAAUAAAUAAACUUAAAAAAAAAGAAAUUCAAAAUCCAACAAAUACAUGAAAAGAAGCAAAACAAUGGUAUUCAUUUCUCGUUACCAGACUGUCCAGCAUUUAAAACUCUGAUAAUACUCAGUAUUGGAGAAGAUACAAAAAAAUGAGCACUCUCAGACUGUUGGUAAGAGUGUAAAUUAGUACUAGCUUUUUAAAAGACAAUUUUUAAUAGCUUUCAACAUUUUAAAAUAUGUAUAUGACUUGAUCUAGCAAUUCCACUUCUAGGAAUUCAUUUUAAUGAUAUAUUCAUACAAAUGAACAAGUUGUACAGGUGUUCAUUGUAACACUACUUUUAACAGGAAAACAAGCAGUGAGAGAGAGAGAACACCCUAAGUGUCUGUGAUAGUGUUAAAACUUAUCCCCAAAUUGAUACUCCUAUCCUCAAAGAGCAGAGUCCAAUUACCCUCCCUUUGAGUGUGGGCUGUACUAAUGACCCUGAUAAAUAGAAUGUGGUGGAAGUGGUGGUAAUUGAUUUUUCACACUGGGUGAUAAAAAGCAUUUUGGCUUCUUCCUCAUUCUCUCUCUUGGAUUACUCACUGUGGAAGAAGUGAGCUACCACACUGAGAGGACAGUGAGGCAGCUGUAUGGAGAGACCCACGUAGCAGGAACUGAAGCCUCCUGCCAACAGUCAUGAGCCACCUUGGAAUUAGAUCCUCCAGCCCUAGUCAUGCCUUUAGAUAACUGCAGCUCCAUGUCUUAACUAAAACUUCAUGAGAGACCCAGAGCCAGAAGAAUUCAGCUAAGCUGCCCUUGAAUUCAUUACCAGAGGACCAUGAGACAAUAGAUGUUGUUUUCAAGUGCUAAGUUUUGGGGGGUAGUUUGCAAAGCAAAAAGAGAUAACAAAUGUAUUACAUAAUAAAAAGCUGGUUAAUAAAGUAUCAUACUAGCAUACGAGCAAACUCUAUGCAGUUUUUAAAAAUAAUGUUUUCUGCUUGAGAUGUAGGAAACUAUAAAGAACACCAUCCUCAUACUUACAAGAUCAAAAAGUCUGGAAAAUAUGCAGAUUCACUUUUGUUGGACCCAUGAAAGAGCUCAGUUCAUAGGGCAACCACAUGACCUGAAAUCUAAGAAAAGGCACCCACAAAGAGAGAUGGGGCUCAAGCACUUGCUUACCUGAAGCAGGCACUGCUAUACACUAGCAGGGAGAAUUUAGUUAAUGGCCUAACAUGGGCUUGCAAGAGAAAAUGAAAACCCUGGGGGCCGCAGAUACCAUGGAAAUUUGCAUCCACUUGCAAACUUUUUCCAAUAACCCCACUGGGCACUCACAAAAAUGAUUAGCAAAAGUCCUAAGAAAGCAACCCUCCCAUCACAGACCAGGAGAGGGGAAUAUCAGUUGCUGUAGAAAAGGCAUGCAACUAUGCUCAGAACCUAUUUCUUUAUCUUUCCUACAGAACAAAAGCAGAACCAAGUGCUGAAGGAAGGGCAAUAAACACAGCCUUAGAAGGCUGAUAAAUCCAACUGGAACUGAGGAAAGACAACAGAAUAAAAACCAAAUCUCUGAUUCUGAGGGAGAGGCAGGAAUAUGUGCCAGGUCCAGAACUGCUCAUAGGGGGAGGAGAGAAAUCUGAAGAUCACACACAGCCUCCCACUCCAAGACCUGGGGGCAUAGUGCCCGCAUGACUGAGAAUCAGAACAGAGCACUCACUCUCCAGCCCUCACCACCAGGCCGACUGACAAACAUUGGCUAACAAGCAACAGUGGGAUACUGCAGGAAGAGCCCAAGGUGCAUGCUGAGAGAGGCUUUCUGACAUAUACCAGGGAAGACCUAAACUGAGGGUGGAGUGGACACGUCCAUACCCUAAAUACAGGUAACACUUGAGGAAUUGGAAGUAACUAUAGCAACAGC